AAAGCAAUAUUUAAGUGUGGUGGUGGUGGUUUAGUCGCUUUGUUAUGUCCAACUCCUGUGAUCCCAGAGACUGUGGCCCACCAGGCUCCUCUGUUCAUGGGAUUUUCCAGGCAAGAAUACUGGAGUGGGUUGCCAUUUCCUUCCCCUGG
This is a long non-coding RNA of Cervus elaphus (red deer), 149 nucleotides long. RefSeq lists it as uncharacterized. The record is from RefSeq and is a predicted model, not a curated record. The transcript has 3 exons. Lineage: Eukaryota; Metazoa; Chordata; Mammalia; Artiodactyla; Cervidae.